UACGUAGGGUGCGAGCGUUGUCCGGAAUCACUGGGCGUAAAGGGCGCGUAGGUGGCUUCUCAAGCGCGCGGUGAAAGCCCGGGGCUCAACCCCGGGUCGGCCGUGCGGACUGGGAGGCUCGAGCACUGUAGGGGCGGGUGGAAUUCCGGGUGUAGCGGUGGAAUGCGCAGAUAUCAGGAGGAACACCGAUGGCGAAGGCAGGUCACUGGGCCGCAACUGACGCUGAGGAGCGAAAGCAUGGGGAGCGAACAGG
Molecule: ribosomal RNA, 253 nt
Filed under: uncultured bacterium
Lineage: Bacteria
Description: partial 16S ribosomal RNA
Rfam family: Bacterial small subunit ribosomal RNA
Source: RNAcentral